CAGUUGUUGGGUUGUUUCCUUGGCCAGUUGCCCUAUUGCCUAGCAAGUGCGUGAACAUGGAGUUGUGUCUGUCAUGAAUGUGGCUCUGGUUUUAGUUUUACUUAUUUUUUUUCCCUGUCUUUCAUUCAUUUUGAGUAUGUUGUUCUCCUAUUAAAAUUCAGUUUGCACUUGUUUGCAAUUUGUUUACUUUGUUGGAUUUUUAAAACUUGUUAGUAGUCAAUUGAACAUGUAUAUUAAACCCUUUUUAGGCCAACAAAAAUAAAGAUGCAUUAGAAAGAUGCCUUUUAUGCUUCAUAAUUAUUAAUUGACAUUUUAUGAUGAAUAAUUAAUCAUUUGAAUAAUUUUGGUAUCUCUGAUCUGAACACAUAUUUGCAUAUCUAAUGCUUGAUUUUAACUGUGUGUUUUUAAAAAAAUUCAUUCUCUCAGGACGAAGAAACAAAAUAACAUUUUAAUGUAAAAUUUCUCUUCAACACUUGUAAAAGUUUUUUUUAUUGAGUUGUACUAUUCUUUCUAGGUAUCCAUAAAACUUCUUGACACUUUGUAAAUCAUUAAUGUAGCAAUCAUAUACAAACAUGUGACAGACUGCAAUUAAUUAGGAAAAACAAUACCCUAUGUAAAAUCAAGUCACUCUCCUCCCCAAAGGAAGAGAUGUGCACUAAUUAUGCACCAUUUUUUCUUACUGGAAUUUGGUUAUUGAACUUUUUGGUUAUGUC
This 713-nucleotide long non-coding RNA is filed under the name Bos taurus (domestic cattle). RNAcentral describes it as "long non-coding RNA NONBTAT011137". The record is from RNAcentral. Lineage: Eukaryota; Metazoa; Chordata; Mammalia; Artiodactyla; Bovidae.